GCCGCUUCGCGAAGUGACAGGUUUUCAACAUGGCCGCCGAUGUAAACGCUCGUGCGCGCCAUGUCAUCAAGUAAAGAAAGAAAUAAAGUGUUCUUCUUCAAGUUAGCCGGCCAAAAUUAAUUUUACGUGAAAGGACUUGGAUAACAUGCUUAAUCGAUGCAGAAUCACUUGGUGGUCACAAAUCAACAAGUUACAACACUUGUGUUAAAAACUGCCGGUAGUAGCCGAAUAAAAAGAAACCCACGCCAUUCCUGCGGUAACCGUUUCAAACAACGCGUUUCUUAAUGGUUAAAAUUUCAACAAUUAGUGACUCAUUGACAAUAAAUAAGAAAAUGCAACGAUCAAGGACCGUGCCACAAAAUGAUACAAAUAAGUCUGACAGAAGAAGAGUGGACCAUCCGAUGUCAAUGAAAAGCUGAUAUUGCAACCAAAUUCGUGGGCGUACUUUGUUGCCAAGGCGUUAUGGUCCCAACAUCGAAUAUCAUGCGGAUAUUCCUUUAAAUACCAACGUGUUCAAUACUGUCCUGAAACAAGAAACUAUUUUAUAAAAUUUCACGGUGUCUGCAAGAAGUCCAAUUGUCCAAAUACCAUUAAUGGUAUCGGAGAGAAAAAGCACAACAUUAAUGAAGUGGUCUUCGGCAUCGAAAUGAAUGAAAUGCACCAUGACGAAAGGCAGCAACCAUUUCGAUGGCCCUGCGGUGAAGAUUAAGUCAGACUUGAAGAGCGGUACACAACAGGUCCAAUUUCGUACGAGCUGGCAUAACCCGAAAGUGAUCUGCGAAGCUAUAUAAAAAAUGUUUAUAAAACAAAUUACCAAAAAAAGCUUUAUAAAAUAUGUUUUUUUUAAAUGGAAAAAAUAAAUUUAAGGAAUUGAAACAAAAAA
Venturia canescens is the source of this 883-nucleotide long non-coding RNA. RefSeq lists it as uncharacterized. The record is from RefSeq and is a predicted model, not a curated record. NCBI's taxonomy places the organism in Eukaryota, Metazoa, Arthropoda, Insecta, Hymenoptera, Ichneumonidae. The transcript has 5 exons.